UCUAUUACUAUAAAAUGACUGGCGGAAUGUAGCUUCGAUUUCGGUUGAAGUGUUAUAGCCUCUGGUAGAUGUGGUAAUUGGGACUGAGGAUUGCAACGAAUAUCCUUUGGGCUAUCCGUCUGGCCUCUGAAAGUUGCUUGGGUGCUGAAAGCUUGCUUAUGGUUAUCUAAGUUAACGGUCAAUAGGUUAGAACGUGAUUACAUUCGUUAAGGAUGUUGACGUAA
RNAcentral lists this ribosomal RNA (224 nucleotides) under uncultured fungus. RNAcentral describes it as "partial large subunit ribosomal RNA". The record is from RNAcentral. Lineage: Eukaryota; Fungi.